RNAcentral lists this ribosomal RNA (501 nucleotides) under uncultured bacterium. RNAcentral's name for it is "partial 16S ribosomal RNA". It matches the Rfam family "Bacterial small subunit ribosomal RNA", at positions 30 to 523 of the family's 1533-position model. The record is from RNAcentral.
AUUGAACGCUGGCGGCAGGCUUAACACAUGCAAGUCGAGCGGAGAGAGGUAGCUUGCUACUGAUCUUAGCGGCGGACGGGUGAGUAAUGCUUAGGAAUCUGCCUAUUAGUGGGGGACAACAUUUCGAAAGGAAUGCUAAUACCGCAUACGUCCUACGGGAGAAAGCAGGGGAUCUUCGGACCUUGCGCUAAUAGAUGAGCCUAAGUCGGAUUAGCUAGUUGGUGGGGUAAAGGCCUACCAAGGCGACGAUCUGUAGCGGGUCUGAGAGGAUGAUCCGCCACACUGGGACUGAAACACGGCCCAGACUCCUACGGGAGGCAGCAGUGGGGAAUAGUGGACAAUGGGGGGAACCCUGAUCCAGCCAUGCCGCGUGUGUGAAGAAGGCCUUAUGGUUGUAAAGCACUUUAAGCGAGGAGGAGGCUACUUUAGUUAAUACCUAGAGAUAGUGGACGUUACUCGCAGAAUAAGCACCGGCUAACUCUGUGCCAGCCGCCGCGGUAA